GAUGAAGAACGUAGCGAAAUGCGAUACGUAAUGUGAAUUGCAGAAUUCGGUGAAUCAUCGAGUCUUUGAACGCACAUUGCGCCCCCUGGUAUUCCGGGGGGCAUGCCUGUCCGAGCGUCAUUGCUGCCCUCAAGCACGGCUUGUGUGUUGGGCCUCCGUCCUCCUCCCGGGGGACGGGCCCGAAAGGCAGCGGCGGCACCGCGUCCGGUCCUCGAGCGUAUGGGGCUUCGUCACCCGCUCUUGUAGGCCCGGCCGGCGCUUGCCGACACAUCAAUCUUUUUUCCAGGUUGACCUCGGAUCAGGUAGGGAUACCCGCUGAACUUAAGCAUAUCAAUAAGCGGAGGA
RNAcentral lists this unclassified non-coding RNA (345 nucleotides) under soil metagenome. RNAcentral's name for it is "partial contains 5.8S ribosomal RNA, internal transcribed spacer 2, and large subunit ribosomal RNA". The stretch from base 1 to 120 matches the Rfam family "5.8S ribosomal RNA", at positions 35 to 154 of the family's 154-position model. The record is from RNAcentral.